RNAcentral lists this ribosomal RNA (403 nucleotides) under uncultured bacterium. RNAcentral's name for it is "partial 16S ribosomal RNA". It matches the Rfam family "Bacterial small subunit ribosomal RNA", at positions 28 to 526 of the family's 1533-position model. The record is from RNAcentral.
GACGAACGCUGGCGGCGUGCCUAAUACAUGCAAGUCGAACGCAGUGGGGACGGGUGAGUAACACGUGGGUAACCUCCCAUCAGAGGGGAUAACACUUGGAAACAGGUGCUAAACCGAUACUGAUGGAUGGACCCGCGGUGCAUUAGCUAGUUGGUGAGGGAACGGCUCACCAAGGCCACGAUGCAUAGGCUAGCCUAGAGGGUGAACGGCCAGACGUGGAAGUGGAAACGGCCCAGAACCCGACGGGAGGCAGCAGGAGGGAAUCUUACGCAAUGGGAGAAAGGCUGAGCGGGGAACGCGGGUGGAGGGAAGAAGGGUUUCGGAUCGGAAAACUUUGUUGUUAGGGAAGCGGUAUCUAACCAGAAAGCCACGGCUAACUACGUGCCAGCAGCCGCGGUAAUUC